Molecule: non-coding RNA, 153 nt
Organism: Diaporthe sp. PMI_573
Lineage: Eukaryota; Fungi; Ascomycota; Sordariomycetes; Diaporthales; Diaporthaceae
Source: the annotation of a GenBank genome assembly
GGCCACUUGGUGUAAUUGGUUAGCAUUCUGCCUAGCCAGGUGAUUCCCCAGAAGGCGGAUCUACACCAAUCCCGAUUCACACGACAAUCUGCUGGAUGAGCUUUCAUCUGCCGUAAACGGUGGAAGGUGCCAGUUCGAGUCUGGCAGUGGUCU